This 125-nucleotide small nucleolar RNA is filed under the name Pongo abelii (Sumatran orangutan). The record is from RNAcentral. Lineage: Eukaryota; Metazoa; Chordata; Mammalia; Primates; Hominidae.
AUGCAGGUACUGUUACGAUAUGACUGAAGUGAUUUGUUAUCAUUUCCCUGCUUAAAGCACUUGAUAUAUAACUAUCUCUGUCUAACUCAUUCCACAGUAAGACAGAGAUGCUUGGUUUCAUUUUU